AAGGAAAUUGAGGAAGUAACCUCAGUUUUUUUUUUUUUUAAGUUUCCUAAUGAUUUUUACUUAUUUGUUACUUCCGUGUCAGUUUACCCCAUAAGUAUCCUAAAUGGUACAUUCCGACGGACCCCUGCCUAUGAAAGGGCGCAAAUACACAAACACAAUAAAUAAAGUUUUGUUGAAGCUGAAACUUUAUUUAAACAAAUCGUUACAUUUUUCAUUUAAGCUAUAGCUAGCGCGACUUCACUUGGUCGACCUAAAUUCCCCAGCAGAAGACACAGGAAUGCUGGUAUCCCACCUGGAGGAUACGAAUGUGGGCUGAAUCCUGCACCACUCAGGCUGAUGAAGCCACUUGGAUGAGCAGAGAAACGUUUUAAGGAGGGUGAAAUAAGCCUGAGCGGCUUCUACUGGGAUGCUGUCAGUGAGAAAUCCUCCAGAAUGGCUCUUUAACGCUUGAAGGUUACAGACCCCUGGACUAGUACAUAACAGAGCAAGGACAUGAGAUCGCGAUGUAUAACACCUGGGUUAUCAUCAAGAAAUAGGAACACUGCAUCCUGACUGUUAUAUACACCAGCAUGGCAGUGUAAGUAUUCAUUUAUAUCUGUUUCUGUAAUGUCCUCAGCUGUCAGUAAAUGGCUCAGUAUUCAAUAACCUGAUGUCUAAUCCAGAAACUCCCCUCCCCCAUUUCACUCUCACAUCCCUGCGUCCAAAGAAAUUCAUGCUUUGUAAAACAUUUAUUAAAGAGCACUGAGGUAUUCCUCAACAUAAAUAGUUUUUGUUUAUUAUUCAGAACCGCACGGUAUUUUAUGAUACAGAUGUCCAGGAGCGGAGAUAUCCACAAAUACGUGAAACCAUGAAUAAUGAAGCGCGAAUAAGCGACGGAACACUGUUUUCAUUUGUAUCUGUAUUUUUUAUCGGUGAUGAUGUCAUCUGUAAAAGGGUCAAUACCUUUGUAAUGGUUAGGGUCUGAGAGCAUAUGUGACAACAAUGGGGAGAGGUGCCUAGAUACAGGUCAAUAGAAAAAUAGAAGGGAUGCAGAGAGGUGGCUUUUGAUUAGUUGGACACUUCUAUGAACUCUAGAUCAAUGUUUCCCAAUCCUGGUUCUCUGGGAACAUUGUCCUGUGUCUUUUCCAUGCUACCCUGCUUAAGUAUACCUGAUUCCGUUCAUCACCAAGUUAUGCAGAAGCCUUAUAAUGACCUUCAUCAAGGAGAGGUGUGUUUGGGACGAAUAGGAUUGAAAAAAUGCGGGACAUUAUCUCUGGGGCAGCCUUGGAGCAGAGGUAGAGCGGUCUACAUCUGAUUGGAAGGUUGCAGCAAGGGUUCCCGCCUUACCCGUCCAUGUGUCCAAUGGUUCUUGGGCAAGACACAGGAAUCAUUGCUCCUGGUGGUUAUAGGUUGGCACUAGUGUUUCGCAGCUGACCCAUUAUCAGUGUGUGUAGGUGGAUGGGACUGUAGCACUUUGAGCUUUCUGAGAAGUUAGCAAAGUACUAUAUAAGUAUGCUAUUCUAGGUACUGAAGAGCUUCUGUCUUUUUAACCUAAAAAUCUAACUUUGGUAAGUUUUUUUGUAAAUGAUUUGGAAAUGGCAAAACCUGCUUUCUGCUCUUUAUGUAACCUCAUUAAUUAAUUUCUCUUGCAGCACUAUUUCUCCAAAAACCUUACAACUUUGGCACAAAUCGUAAAUGGUUGGUUAGCCCAUAUGGGGCUACA
Long non-coding RNA from Oryzias melastigma (Indian medaka), 1702 nucleotides. RefSeq lists it as uncharacterized. NCBI's taxonomy places the organism in Eukaryota, Metazoa, Chordata, Actinopteri, Beloniformes, Adrianichthyidae. The transcript is spliced from 4 exons. The record is from RefSeq and is a predicted model, not a curated record.